Acanthosepion pharaonis is the source of this 113-nucleotide non-coding RNA. The record is from the annotation of a GenBank genome assembly. Lineage: Eukaryota; Metazoa; Mollusca; Cephalopoda; Sepiida; Sepiidae.
UAUGGCCAUAUUACAUUGAAACACAUGUUCCUGUAUGAUCACCGAAGUUAAGCAAUGUUGAGCCUGGUCAGUACCUAGAUGGGUAAUCACUUGGAAAUACCAGUUGCUGUAUG